GACGAACGCUGGCGGCGUGCUUAACACAUGCAAGUCGUACGGUAAGGCCCUUUCGGGGGUACACGAGUGGCGAACGGGUGAGUAACACGUGAGUAACCUGCCCACAACUUUGGGAUAACGCUAGGAAACUGGUGCUAAUACUGGAUAUGUGCUCCUGCUGCAUGGGGGGGGUUGGAAAGCUCCGGCGGUUGUGGAUGGACUCGCGGCCUAUCAGCUUGUUGGUGGGGUAGUGGCCUACCAAGGCGGCGACGGGUAGCCGGCCUGAGAGGGUGACCGGCCACAUUGGGACUGAGAUACGGCCCAGACUCCUACGGGAGGCAGCAGUGGGGAAUAUUGCACAAUGGGCGCAAGCCUGAUGCAGCAACGCCGCGUGCGGGAUGACGGCCUUCGGGUUGUAAACCGCUUUCAGCAGGGACGAAGCUUUUUGUGACGGUACCUGCAGAAGAAGCACCGGCUAACUACGUG
This 465-nucleotide ribosomal RNA is filed under the name uncultured bacterium. RNAcentral's name for it is "partial 16S ribosomal RNA". It matches the Rfam family "Bacterial small subunit ribosomal RNA", at positions 28 to 507 of the family's 1533-position model. The record is from RNAcentral.